AAAAACCUCAAGAAUGUCUUUUAAGGAUAUGAAAUGAUAAAGAAGUCUUCGGGUCAUUGGAAGUUCCAUGUUUCUGCCAAGGUGCCUUCUCUCCCUAGGGGAGUCGGAGCUCUGCAAACACGUGUGACCACAUGCUGCCGGCCAUAAGAUGGAUGCUCACAUCUGCAGGCUGACUUGGGAGGAGAAACUGAGGCCCUGAGAAGCAAAGGAAGGCUUUCGGGCUGAAAGAACCAAUAAUGGAUGCCGGAAGGGCAGGCAGGAGUACCCUUGGAUACUUACUGUUGAAGCUCGGGACAGUACAUGUGCUUGGGGAAGAAGGACAGCGGCCUGACCCUCAGCAUUCUA
Molecule: small RNA, 345 nt
Filed under: Rattus norvegicus (Norway rat)
Lineage: Eukaryota; Metazoa; Chordata; Mammalia; Rodentia; Muridae
Description: uncharacterized LOC102548232
Source: RNAcentral